AUGUCGACUGCAGGGAUAAUCAAAGUCUCCACUGCUUGCCCCAUGUUCGAUGGAACUGAAUAUCCCUACUGGAAGAAUAAUAUGUGCAUGCAUCUUGAAGCCAUUGAUGUCGACCUUUGGUAUGUCGUCAAGAACGGCGUUCCGAAAACUGGUGAAGGUGUCACCCCUGCUGAUGUCAAGAAGUUCAUUCAAAUGGACUCUACUGCCAAGAACAUCAUCUGUGGUCAUCUGACCAAAGGACAGUAUGGCCGUGUGAGUGCUCUGGAAACGUCGAAGCUAGUCUGGGACUGGCUAUCCAAGGUCAACGAAGGCGUCUCAACCCAGAGAGAUCAAAGGAUCAGUGUUCUUCGCAACCUCUUCAACCGCUUCAAGAGAAACGACAAUGAAAAUGUCCAGCUCACGUUUGAUCGCCUCACCGACAUCACAAAUGAGCUUCGUGCUCUAGGCGCCACUGAGAUUACCAAGCAUGAAAUCAUCAAGACUCUACUGAGAUCACUGGACAGCUCCUUUGACACCCUUGCACUCAUGAUACAAGAACGCCCUGACUUCAAGACACUCGAUCCGUCUGAUAUACUUGAGAGGCUCAACACACAUGAGUUCCAGCUUUCUGAGAAAAGAGAUAUCUAUGGUCCCAACUAUGACCGAACUCGCGCUUUGAAGGCAAAAGUUGUUUCCUCAUCUGAAGAAGAAUCUGACUGCAGUUCUGAUGAUCCUGAAGACAUUGGAAAGGAACUUGCUAUGCUUGUGAAGAAGUUCCAGAAGUUCACUAAGAAGAAGGGCUUCAGAAAGUCUUCACGAUCUAGCUCAAGAAAUGAUGAAGCUUCCACUCAUGACUACAAGAAGAGAACAUGUCACAAGUGCAAGAAACCUGGACACUAUAUCUCUGAGUGUCCACAGUGGGACAAUGAGAAGAAGAAGAAGAGCAAGGAAUAUGAUUCUGAUGACAAGAAGAAGAAGAAAUCUUCAAAGUCUUCUUCCAAGUCCUCAUCUAAGUCUUCAUCUCAUUAG
RNAcentral lists this ribosomal RNA (1008 nucleotides) under Triticum aestivum (bread wheat). Its description in RNAcentral is "partial small subunit ribosomal RNA". The record is from RNAcentral. Lineage: Eukaryota; Viridiplantae; Streptophyta; Magnoliopsida; Poales; Poaceae.